The sequence is a transfer RNA, 83 nucleotides long. It matches the Rfam family "tRNA". Rfam says of the family: Transfer RNA (tRNA) molecules are approximately 80 nucleotides in length. The record is from Rfam.
GGUUCGAUGGUGUAGUUGGUUAUCACGUCUGUCUCACAAUUCGUGUGCACAGGAGGUCUCCGGUUCGAACCCGGGUCGAACCA